AGCGAACGCUGGCGGCGUGCCUAACACAUGCAAGUCGAACGUGAAAAGGGAAACCUGAGUACAGUGGCGUACGGGUGAGUAACGCGUAGGUAAUCUACCCCAGAAUCUGGAAUAACCUGCCGAAAGGCGGGCUAAUACUGGAUAGAGCGAGGGAACUCGUAAGAGAGUUUUUCGGGAAAGGGAGCCCGCAAGGGCCUUCGUUCUGGGACGAGCCUGCGUCUCAUUAGCUAGUUGGUAAGGUAACGGCUUACCAAGGCGAUGAUGAGUAGCUGGUCUGAGAGGAUGAUCAGCCACACUGGAACUGAAACACGGUCCAGACUCCUACGGGAGGCAGCAGUGGGGAAUCUUGCGCAAUGGACGAAAGUCUGACGCAUCCACGCCGCGUGAGUGAAGAAGGCCUUCGGGUUGUAAAGCUCUGUCGGAUGGGACGAACAUCUUCAUAGUGAAUAGCUAUGAGGACUGACGGUACCAGCAAAGGAAGCACCGGCUAACUCCGUG
Molecule: ribosomal RNA, 498 nt
Filed under: uncultured bacterium
Lineage: Bacteria
Description: partial 16S ribosomal RNA
Rfam family: Bacterial small subunit ribosomal RNA
Source: RNAcentral